RNAcentral lists this ribosomal RNA (305 nucleotides) under uncultured bacterium. RNAcentral describes it as "bacterial SSU rRNA". It matches the Rfam family "Bacterial small subunit ribosomal RNA", at positions 336 to 640 of the family's 1533-position model. The record is from RNAcentral.
UUCCUACGGGGGGCAGCAGUGAGGAAUAUUGGUCAAUGGGAGAGAUCCUGAACCAGCCAAGCCGCGUGAGGGAAGACGGCCCUAUGGGUUGUAAACCUCUUUUGUCGGAGAACAAAACCCGGGACGUGUCCCGGACUGCGUGUAUCCGAAGAAAAAGCAUCGGCUAACUCCGUGCCAGCAGCCGCGGUAAUACGGAGGAUGCGAGCGUUAUCCGGAUUUAUUGGGUUUAAAGGGUGCGUAGGCGGUCCGGAAAGUCAGCGGUAAAAGCCCGGGGCUCAACCCGGCGAGCCGUUGAAACUGUCGGG